This 536-nucleotide ribosomal RNA is filed under the name Phlebia sp. Its description in RNAcentral is "SSU rRNA". It matches the Rfam family "Bacterial small subunit ribosomal RNA", at positions 425 to 930 of the family's 1533-position model. The record is from RNAcentral. Lineage: Eukaryota; Fungi; Basidiomycota; Agaricomycetes; Polyporales; Meruliaceae.
CUGAAUCACUUAAGAAGUGAUAACGUAAGGGAAAAUAAUGAUACUACCUUACUAUAAGUGUUGUCCAAAUCUGGUGCCAGAAGACUCGGUAAGGCCAGAAACGCGAACGUUAGUCAUCUUAAACAGGCGUAAAGGGUGAGUAGGCAACUUCAAAAUUCUAAUUUUAUCCUCUAUCCCUCAUCUUUUCCUGUCAGCAUAGCUGGUGGGGUGAUGGCAGGGGCAGAGGGCAAUAGCAAAAAAUAAGCGGGAAAGUAGAAGAUAGAAUCUAAUAUAGGAAAAAAUAAAAUCGGGAGUUAAGGUUAAAAUCUGCAGUAAACUCGAUAGAAUACUAACGGCGAAGGCAUUUUUCCAUUAAUGAUUGACGCUGAGGAACGAAGGAUAGGAUAAGAAACAGGAUUAGAUACCCUGGUACUCCUUUCAGUAAACGAUGAAUGGUAGUCGCUAAAAUUUAUUAGUGUCAAUGUUAACACGUUAACCAUUCCGCCUUGUGAGUACGAUUGCAAAAUUGAAAACAAAAAAAUUAGUCGUCUCGAAGC